GGGUGCAUAGCUCAGCUGGAUAGAGCAACGCCCUUCUAAGGCGUGUGUCCGGGGUUCGAAUCCACCAUCCUCCACCA
Molecule: transfer RNA, 77 nt
Filed under: Clostridioides difficile
Lineage: Bacteria; Bacillati; Bacillota; Clostridia; Peptostreptococcales; Peptostreptococcaceae
Description: tRNA-Arg
Rfam family: tRNA
About the family: Transfer RNA (tRNA) molecules are approximately 80 nucleotides in length. Their secondary structure includes four short double-helical elements and three loops (D, anti-codon, and T loops).
Source: RNAcentral